RNAcentral lists this transfer RNA (86 nucleotides) under Candidatus Thermochlorobacter aerophilus. Its description in RNAcentral is "Candidatus Thermochlorobacter aerophilum tRNA-Leu". It matches the Rfam family "tRNA". From Rfam's summary of the family: Transfer RNA (tRNA) molecules are approximately 80 nucleotides in length. Their secondary structure includes four short double-helical elements and three loops (D, anti-codon, and T loops). The record is from RNAcentral. Lineage: Bacteria; Pseudomonadati; Chlorobiota; Chlorobiia; Chlorobiales; Candidatus Thermochlorobacteriaceae. RNAcentral also lists the same sequence under 2 other names.
GCCGAAGUGGCGGAAUUGGUAGACGCACAGGACUUAAAAUCCUGUGUUCAGCAAUGAACGUGCGGGUUCGAGUCCCGCCUUCGGCA